This 600-nucleotide ribosomal RNA is filed under the name uncultured bacterium. Its description in RNAcentral is "bacterial SSU rRNA". It matches the Rfam family "Bacterial small subunit ribosomal RNA", at positions 890 to 1482 of the family's 1533-position model. The record is from RNAcentral.
AAGGUUGAAACUCAAAGGAAUUGACGGGGGCCCGCACAAGUGGUGGAGCAUGUGGUUUAAUUCGACGCUACGCGAAGANCCUUACCCGGGUUUGAAUUGCAGUGGUUGUAAUCUCUAGAGAUAGAGGUGAGGGAGCAAUCCCGCUGCUUGUGAAGGUGCUGCAUGGCUGUCGUCAGCUCGUGCCGUGAGGUGUUGGGUUAAGUCCCGCAACGAGCGCAACCCUUGUCUUUAGUUGCCAGCGAGUAAAGUCGGGCACUCUAGAGAGACUGCCGUCACAAGACGGAGGAAGGUGGGGAUGACGUCAAGUCAGCAUGGCCCUUACGUCCGGGGCUACACACGUGCUACAAUGGUCGGUACAACGGGCUGCGAGACCGCGAGGUGGAGCGAAUCCCUAAAAGCCGAUCUCAGUUCGGAUUGCAGGCUGCAACUCGCCUGCAUGAAGUUGGAAUCACUAGUAACCGCAGAUCAGCUACGCUGCGGUGAAUACGUUCCCGGGCCUUGUACACACCGCCCGUCACGUCACGAAAGCCAGGUGUACCCGAAGUCGCUGGCCCAACCGCAAGGAGGGAGGCGCCGAAGGUAUGACUGGUGAUUGGGACG